Agrilus planipennis (emerald ash borer) is the source of this 490-nucleotide long non-coding RNA. RefSeq lists it as uncharacterized. The record is from RefSeq and is a predicted model, not a curated record. The transcript is spliced from 2 exons. Lineage: Eukaryota; Metazoa; Arthropoda; Insecta; Coleoptera; Buprestidae.
AUUAAAAUGAAUGAUGAAAUAUUUUGCUCACCGAUUAUGUAUGAUAAUAGAAUUUUAUUUGGAUGUAAUGAUAAUAAUUUAUAUUGUUUUUCAAUUGGAAAUGGUUGAAAAAUAGGGGCAAAAAGCGUCUGCAUGAAAGCAUAACAAAAAGAACUGAAAACUUCAGAUUUUCAGUAUACUUGGAAUUUCUAUAUUUUAUAAGUAUUUACCCCAAGAGUACAAGAAAUAUAUUCUGCUGGAACCCGAUGUAUUUUGUUUAUAAGCAAUAUACAUUUUUAUUAAACAAAUAGAAAAAUGUCCUAUUCUUUAUUUUGGAAGAAGGCAUUAAAAUAAAAAAUAACCAAUAUAUUUACGAAGCUUUUAUUUUUAUCCCAGAUUCACGACAAUUGUUUUAAAUAUCGGUAAAACCUUAAUACCAUCACCGAGGAGAGACAUGUGCAUAUAGACGCCCUUCAUAAGAAAAAAAAAAUAAGUAAAACUAACUAAAAAU